Molecule: transfer RNA, 59 nt
Filed under: Xylobanus panensis
Lineage: Eukaryota; Metazoa; Arthropoda; Insecta; Coleoptera; Lycidae
Also listed under: 2 other names
Description: tRNA-Leu
Source: RNAcentral
UGUGACAGAAUAGUGUGGUAAAUUUAAGAUUUAUUUAUAAAGUUUUACUUUCUUUAGAA